Magnolia sinica is the source of this 445-nucleotide long non-coding RNA. RefSeq lists it as uncharacterized. NCBI's taxonomy places the organism in Eukaryota, Viridiplantae, Streptophyta, Magnoliopsida, Magnoliales, Magnoliaceae. The record is from RefSeq and is a predicted model, not a curated record. The transcript is spliced from 4 exons.
GAAGUUUUUUCAUGCAAAAGCUGAGUCAAUGGAAGGUAGGCUCAUGGAUUGCAUAAUUCUCCAACUAGAUUUUGGCAGCAUUUCAGGAUUUCGACAUUAUGGUCAGGCUAUAUUUAAGCCACCAAAAGCAAUGCGAGGAGGAAUCCCGAUUUGUUUCCCGCAAUGGAUCACUGAAGCAACAUGGGUUUGCAAGGAACAAGAUUUAGACCAUUGAUGAUGAUCCUCCACCUCUUCAUCCUGCUAAGUACAUUGGUAAAUCUUCUCUAGACUUGCUACUGAAACCAUCUGAAGAGGAUCUGAAGUGCUGGCCCCACUGUUUUGAGUUCCGUCUUAGAGUGGCUUUUGCGUUGAAUGGAGAUCUCACCAUGAUAUCACGGAUUAGGAACCUCGACAGCAAGCCAUUUAGUUUCUCCUUUGCUUUCCACACAUAUUUCUCCAUUUCUAU